GCCCCGGCCUGGAGGCCGGGGCUCUUCGGGGCCGGCUCGGGGCCGGCUCGGGGCCGGCUCGGGGCCGGCUCGGGGUC
This 77-nucleotide transfer RNA is filed under the name Actinomadura sp. NBRC 104412. RNAcentral describes it as "tRNA-Pro". The record is from RNAcentral. Lineage: Bacteria; Bacillati; Actinomycetota; Actinomycetes; Streptosporangiales; Thermomonosporaceae.